Molecule: long non-coding RNA, 390 nt
Filed under: Androctonus crassicauda
Lineage: Eukaryota; Metazoa; Arthropoda; Arachnida; Scorpiones; Buthidae
Source: RNAcentral
UAAUAAUUUUGCAUUAUAAUUGUGUCUUGAAUGACAAAAUACAAAAGCAAGUGAAGAAUGAAAAAAAUGUGAUAGAUGCAGUAAGUAAAUCAACUUGAUGAUUUGGUCAUGUGGAUGAAUGAGGGAAGAACAUGUAGCGAAGCAAAUAUAUGUUAGACAUGUAGAGGGUAAAUGUAGGUGGGGAAAGUCAAAGAAAGAAUGGAAAGAACAAAUGAAUGAGUGUCUGAGAAUAUAUGAGUUUCAGAAUCUAUAUAAGAGGUACAUAUAUAUGAAAAAAGGAAUGACUACAGAGAAGCUGAUACAAUAUGUAGAGAUAAGGAUGGCACCAUCUGAUUGGUGAUAUUUGAGUGCUUUUUUCUUUCUUUCUUUCUCUCUUUUCUUUUCUUCCUU